GGACUGUAGCUCAGUGGUAGAGCAUCUGCCUUGUGGGCAGGGGAUCUCAGGUUCGAUCCCCGAUGACAUCUCCA
Molecule: non-coding RNA, 74 nt
Organism: Podarcis lilfordi (Lilford's wall lizard)
Lineage: Eukaryota; Metazoa; Chordata; Lepidosauria; Squamata; Lacertidae
Source: the annotation of a GenBank genome assembly